UUAGAACGUCGUGAGACAGUUCGGUCCCUAUCUGCCGUGGGCGCUGGAGAAUUGAGGGGGGCUGCUCCUAGUACGAGAGGACCGGAGUGGACGCAUCACUGGUGUUCGGGUUGUCAUGCCAAUGGCACUGCCCGGUAGCUAAAUGCGGAAGAGAUAAGUGCUGAAAGCAUCUAAGCACGAAACUUGCCCCGAGAUGAGUUCUCCCUGAGACUUUAAGUCUCCUGAAGGAACGUUGAAGACGACGACGUUGAUAGGCCGGGUGUGUAAGCGCAGCGAUGCGUUGAGCUAACCGGUACUAAUGAACCGUGAGGCUUAACCUU
This 320-nucleotide ribosomal RNA is filed under the name Klebsiella pneumoniae. Its description in RNAcentral is "partial 23S ribosomal RNA". It matches the Rfam family "Bacterial large subunit ribosomal RNA", at positions 2611 to 2925 of the family's 2925-position model. The record is from RNAcentral. Lineage: Bacteria; Pseudomonadati; Pseudomonadota; Gammaproteobacteria; Enterobacterales; Enterobacteriaceae.